This 74-nucleotide transfer RNA is filed under the name Methylococcus sp. RNAcentral's name for it is "tRNA-Gln". It matches the Rfam family "tRNA". Rfam says of the family: Transfer RNA (tRNA) molecules are approximately 80 nucleotides in length. The record is from RNAcentral. RNAcentral also lists the same sequence under 3 other names. Lineage: Bacteria; Pseudomonadati; Pseudomonadota; Gammaproteobacteria; Methylococcales; Methylococcaceae.
UGGGGGAUCGUCCAGUGGUAGGACUACGGACUCUGACUCCGUCAACGGGGGUUCGAAUCCCUCUCCCCCAGCCA